Small nuclear RNA from Leucoraja erinaceus (little skate), 184 nucleotides. RefSeq annotates it as U2 spliceosomal RNA. The record is from RefSeq and is a predicted model, not a curated record. The transcript has a single exon. NCBI's taxonomy places the organism in Eukaryota, Metazoa, Chordata, Chondrichthyes, Rajiformes, Rajidae.
UUUGGUUCUCAGCCAUUUGGCUAAGAUCAAGAAUAAUACCUUGUUUGUAUCAGUUUAAUAUCUGAUACUUCACUUGUCUAGGGAGCAUAUAUUAAAUAGAUUUUUGGAACAGGGAGAUGGAGUAGGGACUUGCUCCAUUCCAUUGCAGUGCUUCGAUAAAGGGCGGCACGGUGGCGCAGCAGUA